GGACAUCAAUGAUAAAUCUAUGACAAUCACAUUUUGAAAAUGCAAACUCCUAACUCCUAAGCAGUACUCCUAGAAGAGUUGGCUACUUCGCGAUCGGGUACUGUUCAUCAUCCACUAUGAUUAGUCUAUUUUGAGCAGCCACCAUCAGAAAAGAAAUGCACCAAAAAUGACUCGGAUUCGGUAAAGCACUCCGAUGAACCCUGAAGAAGUUUACAUAAUGCCCAUUCGUGGACUUGAUGGUGCUUCUUCCGUAAUCCCCAAACACGUUCCUCUGAUCGAGAAAGCGUGCCCGUAUGGAGCUUGUUGGAUCCGAAGAAACAGACGAUGCCGAACAAUCGGUUCUUAUGCUAACCGAUCCACUACACGGCGUGCAAGAAGAUUCCUGUUCUUCAUUUACAAUUGUCACAGAUCGUUCUUCCGGUAAAGGGUUACAUUCUGGCAAACAACUGUCAUAUUCAGCCCGCGGUAUUGUAUGGUUACCAAAAAAGUACCACAGUAAUCCGAGUAGCAGCACAGCGAUGAUUAUGCCAAAAACAGAAAAGGUCAUGCCAUUAAAAUCGAUUGAUUUGU
Long non-coding RNA from Paramacrobiotus metropolitanus, 570 nucleotides. RefSeq lists it as uncharacterized. Lineage: Eukaryota; Metazoa; Tardigrada; Eutardigrada; Parachela; Macrobiotidae. The record is from RefSeq and is a predicted model, not a curated record. The transcript is spliced from 3 exons.